CUUGCUGCUUAAUAAAAAUUUCUGUAAACUGACUUCCCAAAUCCUCACUCUGUCUUGUGGAAUUUUCUUCUCAGUCAGGAUAUGCAG
Long non-coding RNA from Myotis brandtii (Brandt's bat), 87 nucleotides. RefSeq lists it as uncharacterized. The record is from RefSeq and is a predicted model, not a curated record. The transcript is spliced from 3 exons. Lineage: Eukaryota; Metazoa; Chordata; Mammalia; Chiroptera; Vespertilionidae.